AGGUGAAUAUGAUGAGAACAAUAAUAAAAGAUGUCUGAUCAUCAAAUACUAUGUAUUUGGUAUGAUCGAACUUAUUAUCGCUACGUUCUUUCUGAUUCAUCU
Trifolium pratense (red clover) is the source of this 102-nucleotide small nucleolar RNA. RefSeq annotates it as small nucleolar RNA R32/R81/Z41. The record is from RefSeq and is a predicted model, not a curated record. The transcript has a single exon. Lineage: Eukaryota; Viridiplantae; Streptophyta; Magnoliopsida; Fabales; Fabaceae.